This 248-nucleotide unclassified non-coding RNA is filed under the name Melitaea cinxia (Glanville fritillary). RNAcentral's name for it is "misc RNA ENSMCXG00005022206.1". Lineage: Eukaryota; Metazoa; Arthropoda; Insecta; Lepidoptera; Nymphalidae. The record is from RNAcentral.
AGAAGGAGAUCGCUCGUCUAGCGAUAAAAACGCCUUUCACGUUGUGUAUAUUCAUAUCAGCGGACGCUUUUUCGUGGAUCUCAAUACUGGACGGAAUCGCUGGCUUCAUCAAGGACUCCGCAGAGCUAAACAAUGGCGAGCCUCCUGAAACCCGGAAGAUCGAUGAGGAAUACGACUUUAUAAUCAUUGGAGCGGGCACCGCGGGCUGCGUGCUCAGCCAUAGAUUGACGGAAAUUGAAAAUUUUAAG